UUCUGUGAAGUGGACAAGAGCCUGCUCUGUUUGCUGUAUUCCAACUCUCAGGAGCACCGGAAUCACAGACACUGUCCCAUUGAGUGGGCUGCUGAGGAACGCCGGGGAGCUCCUAAAAAAAAAUGCAGUCUUUGUGGGAAAAAGCUUGUGAAAAUCUCAGAAACCUGAACAUGGAAACCACCAGAACAAGAUGCUGGAAGGAUUAUGUGAGUUUAAGGAUAGAAGCAAUCAGAGCUGAAUAUCAGAAGAUGCCUGCAUUUCUCCAUGAAGAAAAACAACAACAUUUGGAGAGGCUGUGAAAGGAGGGCGAGGACAUUUUUCAGCAACUCAAUGAAAGCAAAGCCAGAAUGGAACAUUCCAGGGAGCUUUUAAGAGGAAUGUAUGAGGAUCUGAAGAAAAUGUGCCAUAAAGCAGAUGUGGAGCUACUCUAGUACGAACUGACCAUGGGGUAUCAUGAUGAUGAAGAUUCACGUGCAUGGGUGUUUUUCCUCUCUCCUGAAAUCCGUCUCCCCCUUUACUUCCAUGAUUUGUUUCCAAAAACACGAUUUGAUAACUAAUGCUACUUGGUUGGGAGGGUAUAGCCUCUCCUAGUGAUUCUACCAGAACGAAGGUCCCUCCUACUUUAUCCACCAGCAACAAAACUUUGUGGAAUGACCAAGUCUUUUGGAGACAUAUUACAAAGGUAUGAGUCUCUGCUGCUGCAAGUGUCUGAGCCUGUGAAUCCAGAUUUCAGUG
RNAcentral lists this long non-coding RNA (735 nucleotides) under Homo sapiens (human). Its description in RNAcentral is "non-protein coding lnc-OR4C11-3:2". Lineage: Eukaryota; Metazoa; Chordata; Mammalia; Primates; Hominidae. The record is from RNAcentral.